UACAGAGGUCUCAAGCGUUGUUCGGAUUCAUUGGGCUUAAAGCGCGUGUAGGCGGAUUCGUGCGUCUGUCGCUGAAAUCCCCCGGCUCAACCGGGGAACGGGCGCGGAUACGACGAGUCUGGAGGGGCAUAGGGGGACCUGGAACUUCCGGUGGAGCGGUGAAAUGCGUUGAGAUCGGAAGGAACGCCCGUGGCGAAAGCGAGGUCCUGGAUGCCUACUGACGCUGAGACGCGAAAGCCAGGGGAGCGAACGGG
Molecule: ribosomal RNA, 254 nt
Filed under: uncultured bacterium
Lineage: Bacteria
Description: partial 16S ribosomal RNA
Rfam family: Bacterial small subunit ribosomal RNA
Source: RNAcentral